GGAUGACGAAGGAGCUUGCUCCUUCUGAUUCAGCGGCGGACGGGUGAGUAACACGUGGGCAACCUGCCCUGUAGAUUGGGAUAACUCCGGGAAACCGGGGCUAAUACCGAAUAAUCCUUCGGACCUCAUGGUCCGAUGUUGAAAGACGGUUUCGGCUGUCACUACAGGAUGGGCCCGCGGCGCAUUAGCUAGUUGGUGAGGUAACGGCUCACCAAGGCGACGAUGCGUAGCCGACCUGAGAGGGUGAUCGGCCACACUGGGACUGAGACACGGCCCAGACUCCUACGGGAGGCAGCAGUAGGGAAUCUUCCACAAUGGACGAAAGUCUGAUGGAGCAACGCCGCGUGAGUGAAGAAGGUUCUCGGAUCGUAAAACUCUGUUGUGAGGGAAGAACAAGUACCGGAGUAACUGCCGGUACCUUGACGGUACCUCAUUAGAAAGCCACGGCUAACUACGUGCCAGCAGCCGCGGUAAUACGUAGGUGGCAAGCGUUGUCCGGAAUCAUUGGGCGUAAAGGGCGCGCAGGCGGUCCCUUAAGUCUGAUGUGAAAGCCCACGGCUCAACCGUGGAGGGUCAUUGGAAACUGGGGGACUUGAGUGCAGAAGAG
RNAcentral lists this ribosomal RNA (607 nucleotides) under Chryseomicrobium imtechense. RNAcentral describes it as "bacterial SSU rRNA". It matches the Rfam family "Bacterial small subunit ribosomal RNA", at positions 65 to 656 of the family's 1533-position model. Lineage: Bacteria; Bacillati; Bacillota; Bacilli; Caryophanales; Caryophanaceae. The record is from RNAcentral.